UUCAAGAAGCUGCGGCUGGACGACGACGACGACGACGACGAGGCGGAGCGGAGCCUGCGGACGGCCUUCAAGAAGCUGCGGCUGGACGAGGCGCGCAGAUGGAUCGCGGCGCAGCCUGCGGGCGACGGGACGGUUCUCACGGCGCCGAGGAGAAGAGAUGCAGACGGAGCCCCGCAACCGUCCGUCUGCCAGGAAGCACGCAAUGGGUGUGAGAGGACCUCCGGAGGAUCGGCCGGUCUCUCACGGCAGAGACGUUCCAGGUCUCCUGUCCUAUCCGUGUGUGGAACAGCCUCCUCCAGUUCACCUGCGUUCUACUCUGAGGAGGCCCACACUUACGUAGAUGACACAAGUGUGGAAGACCUAACAGGAUACCUGGAGCACUAUUUAUUUAUUCCAAAGAAAAUGUCUCCCAUGGCUGAAAUGAUGUAUUCCUAAAUGAAAGCCAUAGGGAGUCACAUAGUCAUAAAGUUUAGUUUUUUAAUUAAA
Long non-coding RNA from Tympanuchus pallidicinctus (lesser prairie-chicken), 486 nucleotides. RefSeq lists it as uncharacterized. The transcript is spliced from 4 exons. The record is from RefSeq and is a predicted model, not a curated record. Lineage: Eukaryota; Metazoa; Chordata; Aves; Galliformes; Phasianidae.